AAAAGACCGGAGGAAGGUGAGGAUGAUGUCAAGUCAGCAUGACCUUUAUAUCCAGGGCUACACACACGCUACAAUGGUCUGUACAAUGGGUAGCCAAGCCGCGAGGCGAGCCAAUCCUGAAAGCAGGCCUCAGUUCAGAUUGUAGUCUGCAACUCGACUGCAUGAAGCCGGAGUUGCUAGUAACCGCAGGUCAGCAAUACUGCGGUGAAUACGUUCCCGGGUCUU
Molecule: ribosomal RNA, 225 nt
Filed under: uncultured Anaerolineaceae bacterium
Lineage: Bacteria; Bacillati; Chloroflexota; Anaerolineae; Anaerolineales; Anaerolineaceae
Description: partial 16S ribosomal RNA
Rfam family: Bacterial small subunit ribosomal RNA
Source: RNAcentral